UGAGCAACCUGCCCUUGACUCCGGAAUAACAGCUGGAAACAGCUGCUAAUACCGGAUAUGACCUCCGAUGGCAUCAUCUGGAGGUGGAAAGCUCCGGCGGUCAAGGAUGGGCUCGCGGCCUAUCAGCUUGUUGGUGAGGUAACGGCUCACCAAGGCUUCGACGGGUAGCCGGCCUGAGAGGGCGACCGGCCACACUGGGACUGAGAUACGGCCCAGACU
This 219-nucleotide ribosomal RNA is filed under the name uncultured bacterium. Its description in RNAcentral is "partial 16S ribosomal RNA". It matches the Rfam family "Bacterial small subunit ribosomal RNA", at positions 118 to 337 of the family's 1533-position model. The record is from RNAcentral.